GCAGUGUAUGUCAGACUUCCAAGAAAAGCUCGCAAUGUCGCAAAUAAAAAUGCCUGUACCAUAACCGACACAGGUGGGUAGGUAGAGUAUACUAAGGGGCGCGAGAUAACUCUCUCUAAGGAACUCGGCAAAAUGACUCCGUAACUUCGGGAGAAAGAGUGCCUUAUUUAUAAGGUUGCAAUAACAAGAUCCAAGCAACUGUUUAUCAAAAACACAGGUCUCCGCUAAGUCGUAAGACGAUGUAUGGGGGCUGACGCCUGCCCAGUGCCAGAAGGCUAAAGAAGUUGGUUAGUGUAUGCGAAGCUGAUGACUGAAGCCCUGGUGAACGGCGGCCGUAACGAUAACGGUCCUAAGGUAGCGAAAUUCCUUGUCGGGUAAGUUCCGACCCGCACGAAAGGCGUAAUGAUUUGGAUACUGUCUCGGAGAGAGGCUCGGUGAAGUAGACUUGUCUGUGAAGAUGCGGACUACCUGCACCAGGACAGAAAGACCCUAUGAAGCUUUACUGUAACUUGAAAUUGGAAUUGGACUUUGCUUGCGCAGUAUAGGUGGGAAGCGUUGAAAAUAUUCUUGCGGGAGUAUUGGAGCUAUCAGUGAGAUACCACUCUUGUAAUGUUAGAUUUCUAACUUUGAACCAUAAUCUGGUCAAAGAACAGUUUCAGGUGGGCAGUUUGACUGGGGCGGUCGCCUCCCAAAUGGUAACGGAGGCGUACAAAGGUUUCCUCUGAACGGAUAGAAAUCGUAUCUAGAGUGUAAAGGCAUAAGGAAGCUUGACUGUGAGACCUACAAGUCGAGCAGGGACGAAAGUCGGUCUUAGUGAUCUGACGGUACUGAGUGGAAAGGCCGUCACUCAACGGAUAAAAGUUACUCUAGGGAUAACAGGCUGAUCUCCCCCAAGAGUUCACAUCGACGGGGAGGUUUGGCACCUCGAUGUCGGCUCAUCGCAUCCUGGGGCGGUAGUACGUCCCAAGGGUUGGGCUGUUCGCCCAUGAAAGCGGUACGCGAGCUGGGUUCAGAACGUCGUGAGACAGUUCGGUCCAUAUCCGGUGUAGGCGCUAGAAUAUUGAGAGGAGCCUUCUUUAGUACGAGAGGACCGAGAAGGACACACCGCUGGUGUACCAGUUAUCGUGCCAACGGUAAACGCUGGGUAGCUAUGUGUGGAGUGGAUAACCGCUGAAAGCAUCUAAGUGGGAAGCCCACCUCGAGAUGAG
This 1208-nucleotide ribosomal RNA is filed under the name metagenome. RNAcentral describes it as "bacterial LSU rRNA". It matches the Rfam family "Bacterial large subunit ribosomal RNA", at positions 1590 to 2808 of the family's 2925-position model. The record is from RNAcentral.